AUGUCUGGUCGUACAAAGAAGCAGGAGGCGAUGGGUUUCUUCAAACCCUAAAAUCCUUACUAAAACUCUCAAAUUGGAGGUGCAAAUCUGGUCCAAAACGAAAAUUCGAGCAUAGAUUACUGAUCCCCAUUGCAAGGGGGUUGUAAGGACACUCGCAUCUGAAGAUAGCGAGAGUUUAACAAAUUGCGGAUAUGGUGAUGGAACGGUCCGAGAUGUGACAAGAAGAGCAUACUAAUCAAGGACCUAAAUCGCGUAACGAUCGCAAAUAAGUAAUGGCAAGGAAUGUCCGUUGGGGCAAGCAUUACCAGGUGCACAUUUUAAACUUAUAGUACAAACAGUAAUAUGCAACACAUACAUAGUGAAUGACAGUUGCAUAUAGAAUAUGAAACUUGGAAAACCUGGAUAGGUUACCUAUCCAGGAUGACGUUUCCAAGAGAAAUUCAGUAGAGAAUAUGUAUCACAAAUUGUGAAUAACAAGACAAUAACAGAAUUCAGUUUAUAUAGAAACUUGGACGAGAGUGAUCAUCCAAGUAAGUAUUCUCAAUAUAAAUCUUAUUGAGAAAAGUAAUGAUCACAUCAACGAAUGUGAAUAAAUGUUUAUAAAAAGGGACAUUUUAAAUGUUCAAGGAUAAACGACUAAAACUAAUAAUUGUUAACUAACAAUUAAAUAAAGUUUUACCAAAUGAAAUCAUAAAUAUGGAGAUAAUUUGAGGAGUUACUUACAUGGGACGUGAUGUGGUAAUUAUAAUAAGGUCACGCGUACCAUGUGUUGAUCGCUUACUCUGGCCAAGUAAGUAGUGAACACAUGAUAGCAUGAGCUUCUUAUAAUGAGCGCAGUUAUGUCCGAUGUAGUAAGGUCAAGAUGAAUGAAAAUUUAAAGGAUCCUUAGGGUUAAGAAAUCUUAUGGGCAUACUCGUAUAAAUGGUUUUCGCGGGAACCAUAAAAACGAUGUAUGGCGCACAUAGAAACAAAAGACCCAAGGAAAUUCGUGACAUAAGUCAUUUUGGACGAAACAACCAUGGUAGACAAAAAGGGCAUUGUAAAACCAAAGUAUAAAUGACCCGCUGGGUCAUAGAAACAAAGGUAUUGCCCACAUGAGAAAACGAUCAAAGUCGUUGACUUUGGUUGUAGUAAAGAAAUAAUGAUGAUGAUAAUCAUCAUUCAUAGUUUAUAAGACUGUCAAGGAUGGUCAAAUAAAGAAUAAAGGUUUGGUUGAAUAAAAGCGAUGGAUUUCGCUAAGACAACCAAACAAAUUAAAACGAAAUCUUAAUGUAUACCGGAAUGCUUGCACUAAUAAUGACUUCGGUAAAGUACCCGGUUGAUGGGUAAGGAUUUAAACACAUGCGUAAACCGAGAAACGGGAACACGAAUUUAAAGUCAAAAGACUCGGAUUACGAGUUAUGACUAUAAAAUCUCGUAUAUAGAAAUUGUGAGUAAAUAUGUUCAACUAUUCGAAGUCGAAUGGGUUGAAUAAAGAAUAAAGUUGAUUGUUUAUAAGUGAUGGAUUUCACAUUAAUAAGUCAAACAUGUUGAAUACAAUAUAACGCCGAAUGGCACAAGUGAGCGCUAGCCAGAAAAAGGUAGCGUUAAAUGCAAGAGAAUAAUGAGCCCGGUAAUGGGAUAUAACCAAAUAAGAAUAUAUGCAAAUCAAAUAACAGUAAGCAUAAGAAGAACUGACGCAUAAAUGACGUGAGAAGUCAUAAAAUCGGAAAAUCGUCCGAAAGAAAACAAUUAUAGCCAUGAAACUACAAUUAAGGUUAACGGGACCUAAGCUUGAAACCAAAUAAUUCUUCGAACAAAAACAGGGUGCCUUGACACCAAACAUGUGUUUUAAGAAUGACAUGAGUAAGGAGUGAUCUACGGGAUCAACACCUUUAGGGUUAUAAACAAAUGAAAGAUCUACGGGACUAAAACGACGCAUGGGUCAUGAUUAGAAAGAAGUUAUAAGGACUUCGCCCUAAAGAGGUGAAAGUCUAAUCAAAAUAGCCCAUAAGGCUAAGUGAUAAAAACCUACGGGUUAAUUAGAUAAAGCGAGGGAAUCGGUUGAGAAUCCCCGCAUAAAACUAAGACUGUAAAAGAAUAAAUUAUGGACUGUCAAUAUCCUGGUAUGGAUAAUUGACAAAAGUUAAAGAGAAGAUCCUAAAACUAAAACUUCGGUUUUAGUAAGAAAUAGCGUUUUUACAAACAUAAAUUCUGAUAGGAAUUUAAAUAGUAAGCAUGAAAGAUACAAGUCUUGACACUGAUAGGCGCAAGACGAUAUAUUCGAAAAGUGAUAUUUUCAAAAAUGAAAGGUUGAUACAAACUAAACACGAUGUGACACGAUCACGGUUAGGAAAUGUAAUGUGAAGUAAAAUCACGUUAUAACCAAGCGAGCAGUGAGAAGUAACGGGACUAAUAAGUCUAGUUAGUAAGACCGGUUAAGGCCAGUAAUUCAAAUCAAUAAAAAAAAUUGGUUUGCUUGUAAGCGGUGGAUUCGGUAUAACUGAACCGAAUAAAUAAAUCUGAAAACAAAAGAAAUUAUUGCUAAAAGUGAAAUAUUUCACUAAAGACCUUUAAACGGGUCAAGGUAACGGAUUCACCAAGAGUUCGAUAAUAUAUAAAAGCGAUGGAAAUCGCUAAGUUAACUAAACUAGUAGAAAUAACGGAAUUACGUUAUUUCAAAUUACAUUAUGUCGUAUGAGGUACGUAGAGGUUCUGUAACCAAAAAGAUAUUACCAAAAUUUUUCUGGUAAUACUAACAAUUGGUUAAAAUAUGAAUAAUGCUUAAGAGAUUACUCAGGUCAAACGCAUUGAGUUUAGAACUCAAUGAACUAUGUAAGCAAGGUUUCGAGGACGAAACCUCUUUAAGGGGGGUAGACUUGUAACACCCCGAAAACGGGCUUGGUAAUUAAACUCUGUUAAUACUAAAAGACGGGUAACGUACCGUUAUUAGUAAAAAUAACCCGGCAAAUAUUUGGAUUUAAAUAAGAAAUCCUAAUAUUAAAUAAAAACGAAUCAAAGUUUUAAGUAAUUAAGUUUAUAAAAGGCCCGAUUUAACGGGACUUAAAGUAAAACGGGUUACGACUUCCCGAACCUACUAAGCUAACUAGGAAUAAUUCUAACCUAGUUAGAUAGUGACUUAUGAGUGGGUUAAAACACUUAAAUUAUGAACUAAGGAAAAUGAAGGGGCCAAAGAUGUUAAAAUCGAAACUUAUGUUGCUAAUUUAAUUAAAACAAAAACCAAACACCCCAUUUGGGGAUGUCUGGUCGUACAAAGAAGCAGGAGGCGAUGGGUUUCUUCAAACCCUAAAAUCCUUACUAAUACUCUCAAAUUGGAGGUGCAAAUCUGGUCCAAAACGAAAAUUCGAGCAUAGAUUACUGAUCCCCAUUGCAAGGGGGUUGUAAGUUUGACUCUUGACAAGCUAGAUGGAGGCUUGGAAUGAAGCGGGUCAAACGGAGCAGGUACGAAAAGGAAAGCGUAAUUUGGAUGCGAGGUAAGUAAAGCUUACGCCCUCUUUUGUAAGUUAUGUGUUUAUUCAUAGGUUGUAAAUACGACAAAAGCUAUAUUUGGAAUAUGGUUCCGACACGAAAUGUAACGGGUCGGGACAUAUAAAAUAAUGAUAAACCAUGUUUAAUGGUAAAAUGGGGGAAAUGGUAAUUGGUCACGAGAUGACAUAUAUAUAAAAUGAGUUUUUGAAUUACUACUUAUUAAGGUAAGCCUAAACGAAUAAAAAGAGUAAAACGACGAAUUAGUCAUGUGUAGACGAAAAAGAGUUGAAGUUUAAAACAACACCAUUUAAUAUUAAGCACAAAAUAUUUGGUAGUCUAGACCAAACGGGUCAAAUGGUAAUAUUUAUACCAUUUGACAAUUAACGACUAAUAAGUGUAUGUCGAGUCUCAUGCUCGCAGGGUAAUUGGUUUAUGAAUUAGCGAGGCUAUGAAUUAGCAUAUUAUAGAGACAAGGUCUUAAAACGGGUCAAUAUGUUGACCCGAGCCAGUCUUAGGUGCUCAAGGAUUAUGGGUGACGAUCAAGCAACCUUUGAAGGACCGAACACAUACUCUUGAAGCUUCCGCAUAAAUCAACUCGGUUUAAACAAUGUUUAUGAUGUAAACUGUUUGCUAAACAACUUUUGAAAUGUUUAAACGACGUACUCAAUUAUGUUAUGUUGUAUUAUUUUAAAAUUGUAAAGUUCAAACAAACCCGUAUUUUUACAAAGUAUAUGUAGUCAUAAUUACAUGUUGUUUGUCGUAUACUUUACAAAAAACCAUUAAAUAAUGACAAGGGUGUUACAGUAAUAUCAAACUUAUCUCACCAUAGUUAUAUAAUAAAAAAGAGAGAAAAGAAAUAUAUCAAUUAUAUAUAUUAU
This 4346-nucleotide long non-coding RNA is filed under the name Helianthus annuus (common sunflower). RNAcentral describes it as "hypothetical non coding rna". Lineage: Eukaryota; Viridiplantae; Streptophyta; Magnoliopsida; Asterales; Asteraceae. The record is from RNAcentral.